RNAcentral lists this ribosomal RNA (522 nucleotides) under uncultured bacterium. Its description in RNAcentral is "partial 16S ribosomal RNA". It matches the Rfam family "Bacterial small subunit ribosomal RNA", at positions 28 to 523 of the family's 1533-position model. The record is from RNAcentral.
GACGAACGCUGGCGGCGUGCCUAAUACAUGCAAGUCGAACGAAGCUGUUUUAACUGGUGCUUGCACCGACUUAAACAACUGAGUGGCGAACGGGUGAGUAACACGCGGGUAACCUGCCCCAAAGCGGGGGAUAACAUUUGGAAACAGAUGCUAAUACCGAAUAAAAAUCAGUGUCGCAUGACACAAAGUUAAAAGGCGCUUUGGCGGCACCUAGAGAUGGAUCCGCGGUGCAUUAGUUAGUUGGUGGGGUAAAGGCCUACCAAGACAAUGAUACAUAGCCGAGUUGAGAGACUGAUCGGCCACAUUGGGACUGAGACACGGCCCAAACUCCUACGGGAGGCUGCAGUAGGGAAUCUUCCACAAUGGGCGAAAGCCUGAUGGAGCAACGCCGCGUGUGUGAUGAAGGCUUUCGGGUCGUAAAGCACUGUUGUAUGGGAAGAACAGCUAGAAUAGGGAAUGAUUUUAGUUUGACGGUACCAUACCAGAAAGGGACGGCUAAAUACGUGCCAGCAGCCGCCGUAA